RNAcentral lists this long non-coding RNA (748 nucleotides) under Androctonus crassicauda. Lineage: Eukaryota; Metazoa; Arthropoda; Arachnida; Scorpiones; Buthidae. The record is from RNAcentral.
CUCGUGAUUAAUCUUAUAUCGGGAUAAUAAGGACUUACAAAGCCUCUUUUAGUGAUUCUGUUUACUUUGUUCAAGUUAACUGGUUUUUCUGAUUUAUCGUGACCAACUUGCUUUUCGAGGCGAGUGACUUUGACAGCAGAUGACCAGUUGUUUUUUCUGAUGAGCAAUUGACUGCUUAAUUGACUGUCAAACUCUGGAGACCAAUUGCUAAUCAGAAGUCUUGCGACUUUCUUGUUGGAAGCCUAGCGAUUGACUGCUCGAUUUUUGUUGAUCAUCUAUAUCUUACCUUUGUCCUUCUUCCUGGAGAAAGAUGUUUUUCCCCAUCUAUCCCUUCUGGUUACAUUCUUUAUUUCUCACUUUUACAUCAGUUGUGUGUCAUUUGAUUCUCUCUUGUCAUCAUAACUUUUUCAUGUUUGUUUUGUUUUAUUCAACUAAGAACCUCAGAUUCGUGAGAAUGACAAACAGAUGGAAGAUAUAUAUUGUCCAAAGAUGUCACUUGUCAUUGAAUCACGAUUUAGUGUAGAGUGACACCUUACAGAAGAUUCAAACUCCAUAUCCCCAUAACAUUCCUUUACGUUCUUUAUUAUUUAUAUAUAAUUUUUAUGGAGUUGGUCCGUAAUUAGUCUGUGAAGACAGGUCAAGUCGGGUCAACAUCUGUUUUUCCUAUACAUUUAAAAUAUAUUUUCAUAUUUAUUUUAUGGAAGUUUUCUGGGACCUCACACUAAUUUGAUUGAUAUUUAUUUAUUAU